RNAcentral lists this ribosomal RNA (944 nucleotides) under Kocuria rosea. Its description in RNAcentral is "bacterial SSU rRNA". It matches the Rfam family "Bacterial small subunit ribosomal RNA", at positions 45 to 1000 of the family's 1533-position model. The record is from RNAcentral. Lineage: Bacteria; Bacillati; Actinomycetota; Actinomycetes; Micrococcales; Micrococcaceae.
CNCNGCUUACCAUGCAGUCGAACGAUGAUGCCCAGCUUGCUGGGCGGAUUAGUGGCGAACGGGUGAGUAAUACGUGAGUAACCUGCCCUUGACUCUGGGAUAAGCCUGGGAAACUGGGUCUAAUACUGGAUACUACCUCUUACCGCAUGGUGGGUGGUGGAAAGGGUUUUACUGGUUUUGGAUGGGCUCACGGCCUAUCAGCUUGUUGGUGGGGUAAUGGCUCACCAAGGCGACGACGGGUAGCCGGCCUGAGAGGGUGACCGGCCACACUGGGACUGAGACACGGCCCAGACUCCUACGGGAGGCAGCAGUGGGGAAUAUUGCACAAUGGGCGGAAGCCUGAUGCAGCGACGCCGCGUGAGGGAUGACGGCCUUCGGGUUGUAAACCUCUUUCAGUAGGGAAGAAGCGAGAGUGACGGUACCUGCAGAAGAAGCGCCGGCUAACUACGUGCCAGCAGCCGCGGUAAUACGUAGGGCGCAAGCGUUGUCCGGAAUUAUUGGGCGUAAAGAGCUCGUAGGCGGUUUGUCGCGUCUGCUGUGAAAGCCCGGGGCUCAACCCCGGGUCUGCAGUGGGUACGGGCAGACUAGAGUGCAGUAGGGGAGACUGGAAUUCCUGGUGUAGCGGUGAAAUGCGCAGAUAUCAGGAGGAACACCGAUGGCGAAGGCAGGUCUCUGGGCUGUUACUGACGCUGAGGAGCGAAAGCAUGGGGAGCGAACAGGAUUAGAUACCCUGGUAGUCCAUGCCGUAAACGUUGGGCACUAGGUGUGGGGGACAUUCCACGUUUUCCGCGCCGUAGCUAACGCAUUAAGUGCCCCGCCUGGGGAGUACGGCCGCAAGGCUAAACUCAAAGGAAUUGACGGGGGCCCGCACAAGCGGCGGAGCAUGCGGAUUAAUUCGAUGCAACGCGAGAACCUUACCAAGGCUUGACAUUCACCGGACGCCC